RNAcentral lists this ribosomal RNA (136 nucleotides) under Castor canadensis (American beaver). Lineage: Eukaryota; Metazoa; Chordata; Mammalia; Rodentia; Castoridae. The record is from RNAcentral.
GUCUACGGCCACACGACCCUGAACGCGCCUGAUCUCGUCUGAUCCAGAAGCUAAGCAGGAUUGGGCCUGGUUAGUACUUGGAUGGGAGAAUGACUGUUAUCAAAAAGUCCCAAAACAAUAAAUGCUAUUGAAAACA